AACGAACGCUGGCGGCAUGCCUAACACAUGCAAGUCGAACGAGACCUUCGGGUAUAGUGGCGCACGGGUGCGUAACGCGUGGGAACCUGCCUUUAGGUUCGGGUUAACUCCCCGAAAGGGGUGCUAAUACCGGAUAAAGUCCUCGGACCAACGAUUUAUCGCCUUUGGUUGGGCCCCGGUUGGAUUAGCUAGUUGGUAGGGUAAAAGCCUACCAAGGCGACGUUCCAUAGCUGGUCUGUGAGGAUGAUCAGCCACACUGGGACUGAGAAACGGCCCAGACUCCUACGAGAGGCAGCAGUGGGGAAUCUUGGACAAUGGGCGAAAGACUGAUCCAGCUAUGACGCGUGAGUGAUGAAGGCCUUAAGGUUGUAAAGCUCUUUUACACGGGAUGAUAAUGACAGUACCGGGAGAAUAAGCUCCGGCUAACUCCGUG
RNAcentral lists this ribosomal RNA (433 nucleotides) under uncultured bacterium. Its description in RNAcentral is "partial 16S ribosomal RNA". It matches the Rfam family "Bacterial small subunit ribosomal RNA", at positions 29 to 507 of the family's 1533-position model. The record is from RNAcentral.